This 240-nucleotide ribosomal RNA is filed under the name Vibrio sp. s2s2. RNAcentral's name for it is "partial 16S ribosomal RNA". It matches the Rfam family "Bacterial small subunit ribosomal RNA", at positions 842 to 1081 of the family's 1533-position model. Lineage: Bacteria; Pseudomonadati; Pseudomonadota; Gammaproteobacteria; Vibrionales; Vibrionaceae. The record is from RNAcentral.
GCUUUCGGAGCUAACGCGUUAAGUAGACCGCCUGGGGAGUACGGUCGCAAGAUUAAAACUCAAAUGAAUUGACGGGGGCCCGCACAAGCGGUGGAGCAUGUGGUUUAAUUCGAUGCAACGCGAAGAACCUUACCUACUCUUGACAUCCAGAGAACUUUCCAGAGAUGGAUUGGUGCCUUCGGGAACUCUGAGACAGGUGCUGCAUGGCUGUCGUCAGCUCGUGUCGUGAGAUGUUGGGUU